AAGUCUCCGCUUCUCUAUUCCA
This 22-nucleotide non-coding RNA is filed under the name Arabidopsis thaliana (thale cress). The record is from RNAcentral. Lineage: Eukaryota; Viridiplantae; Streptophyta; Magnoliopsida; Brassicales; Brassicaceae.